GGAAUCUGGGCUUCACACGAUAUGGAAAACUGCUAGCCUGCGUGCUGUGCCCAAGAAGCAGCAUUGGCUCCCAGCCAUCAUGGAAAAAGGCUCCACUGGACAGCUGAAGGAGAAAGUACGGAAGGCCAAUUCCGCAGGCGGGAAGCCAAGAUCCAUGCCAAGUGCCAUCGCUUCAAAGCAAAAGAGCCUAAAAACAGG
Long non-coding RNA from Elgaria multicarinata webbii, 198 nucleotides. RefSeq lists it as uncharacterized. The transcript is spliced from 3 exons. Lineage: Eukaryota; Metazoa; Chordata; Lepidosauria; Squamata; Anguidae. The record is from RefSeq and is a predicted model, not a curated record.